This 4825-nucleotide long non-coding RNA is filed under the name Salvia miltiorrhiza (redroot sage). RNAcentral describes it as "long non-coding RNA (SMIL_LNC000190)". The record is from RNAcentral. Lineage: Eukaryota; Viridiplantae; Streptophyta; Magnoliopsida; Lamiales; Lamiaceae.
GUAGGUUUGUGCUUUUAUAAGCUUCAGGGGUUAUUCUGCAAUAUUCAUUAAGUUGAAGGACUCUCUAGCAAAUAGGCAUAACAGUUAGUUAUUUCUCAGCUAACUGAAGCAGCGGCCGUUUUGCGAGAGGAUUUGCAGAAGAUCAGAUUGAUGUAUAAAGGCAUUCUCUUAUUGUAUUCCUUAGUUUGCAGUGUGUAUUUUCUUCUUCUGAUUUACUUUUACGAUAUUGAGUUGAGUGGAAAGAUUUGGAGAGGUGCUAAGUAUAGCUGCUGUAAAUUGAAGCUUGAAGCUUCUUCUCUGUACUCUUCCGAUUCUUGAUAGUGAAAGUGUUCAUCUCCUUGUCCGUGGAUGUAGGCCUUCGUGGCUGAACCACGUAAAGAAUCUGUGUCAUUGUUUUACUUUGAUUUUACGAAUUGAUUCAACAAUUGGCGCCGUCCGUCGGAAUCGAACCCACGACGAUCAUCGCUUGAAGCUGAGUUGGUCAGAUUUUUUCAAUCGGUAAAUAGAUCUAACCGAUUCGAUUGUUUGAAGGAGAUGAAUCCAUCCAAGAUUGAGAUGGAUAAAUUUACCGGGAAAAACGAUUUCUCGCUGUGGAAGAUUAAGAUGCACGCGAUGUUGGUGCAGCAGGGACUUGCACAAGCUAUCGAUGGAGAUCAGAAAAAGGAGAAAGAUGAUGAUGCAUCUGCCUCAAAGAUGAGCAAGGGCGAGAUAGAUCAAAGGGCGCGUAGCUUGAUAAUUCUCAGUCUUGGAGAUAAGGUUCUUCGCGAAGUAGCGAAGGAGAAAACAGCUGCACAACUUUGGUCAAAAUUGGAGUCAUUGUAUAUGACCAAGUCCCUCGCAAACAGGCUAUAUCUGAAGCAGAAGCUGUACUCUCUCAAGUUUUCUGAAGAAAAAUCGAUAGAAGAUCAAAUGGAAGAAUUCACAAAGUCCAUAGAUGAUCUGGAAAGUAUAGAUGCACAACUGGCAGAUGAAGAUAAGGCAAUCCUUUUGCUAAAUGCACUCCCUAGAAGCUAUGAACAUUUGAAGGAUGCCAUAGUCUUUGGGAGAGAAGGAUCAAUCUCUCUUGAAGAGGUUCAAACUGCUCUGCGUGCUAAAGAACUCCAAAAACAAAACGAUGGGAAACAAGAAGCUUAUUCAGAAAGCUUAAACAUCAAGAAGUACAAAGGGAAAGGCAAGAAGUCAACUGAUGAUUCAAAGAAGAAGAAGGAAGGGAAAAAGGAAUCUGGGAAAGAAGCAAAGAAAUGUUUUGAAUGUCAGAAAACAGGUCACUUGAAGAAGAACUGCUAUAUCUGGAAAAGGAAACAACAGGAACAGAAAGGAGCAAUUCAAAACAAUGCUGAUAAUGUUCAAGAAACAGUAGAUGCUGAAGCCUUGAAGUUCUCAAGAUGACCCUCAAUUCAAAUGGAUCAUGGACUCAGCUUGCACAUUCCACAUGUGUCCCAACAAACACAUGUUCAACAAACUGGAACUAAAGGAGCAAGGAUCAGUCCUGCUAGGCAACAACCAAAUUUGCCAUGUGAAAGGUAUGGGAUCAGUUAGAUUUAAGAUGCAUGAUGGUUCUUUUAAACUGAUUACUGAAGUAAGAUUCAUACCUGAUAUUAAAAGAAAUCUGAUUUCUUUGGGUUUGUUAGAAAAGAAGGCAUGUAGUUGGGAAUCUAAUAAUGGAGAAUUACAUGUGAAAAAGGAUGGAAAGCUGAUUAUGAAAGCAUAUAGAAAACAUAAUCUGUACUAUCUUGAUGCUGAGGUUGUUAUUGGUGAGAGUGAGUCCAAUAUUGCUGAUGAUUUUAUGAAAUGGCAUACUAGACUAGGCCAUGUUGGAGAAAAAGGCUUAAAGGAACUUAUAAAACAGAAAAUAAUCCCUAGUUCGAGUUGUGAUAAAAUGCAACACUGUGAACCUUGCAUGCUAGGAAAAAGCACUAAAUUACCUUAUCCUAAGGGUAUGCAUGUAAGUAAAUCACCUCUUGAUUAUGCUCAUGCCGAUUUAUGGGGUCCAGCUAACACUGCUACUCUUGGAGGAGCAAGAUAUUUUCUCUCUAUUGUUGAUGACUUUAGCAGGAAGGUCUGGAUAUAUCUUUUGAAACAAAGUCCGACGCUUUCAAUUGCUUCAAAGAAUGGUGCGUUGAGGUGGAGAAUCAAAAGAGAGUCUCUCUCAAAUUUUGAGGACAGACAAUGGUCUAGAAUUCUUAUCAAGGAGUUUGACAAGUACUGUAAGAAGAAAGGAAUCAAAAAGGCAUAAAAGGCGUUCCGCCAAUCCACAACAAAAAUAGGAGGUUGUGGAAAGGAUGAACAGACCUUAUUGGAAAGAUGAGGUGUAUGAUGAUAAGCUCAGGAUUACCAGAAAGAUUCUGGGGAGAAGCUGCAUCAACAGCAGCCCACCUGAUCAAUAGUCACCUUCUUCAGUUUUGAAGUUCAAAACCCCAGAGGAAUUGUGGACAGGGCAUGUCAGUGACUACUCAAGCUUAAAGCCAUUUGGUUGUCAGGCUUUUGUGCACAUAAAGACAGAACAAACUAAGCACCAAGAGCUUUAAGGUGUGUAUGCUUGGAUACCCUACUGGAGUGAAGGGAUACAGAUUAUGGUGCACAGAGAAGGGAGAAAAUAAGGUUAUAUUGAGCAAGAUGUAAUAUUCAAGAAGACAUUAUGCCUUUUAAGAAAGAAAAGGUUCCAUACUCAAUGAAAGAGACAUCUCUACUGCUCAAAGUUUAAGAGAUAUACAGGUCAAGGUGAGCCCCUAGAUCAACAAACUAGUGAGCAAGAAGUUUCAGACCAAGAAUCUGAAAAGGGAAACAGAUGAGAAUCAACAACUGAUAGAGGAGCAUGAUGAACUUUCAGACUACAUGUUGGCCAGGGAUAGAGUCAGAAAGGGAAAUAAAACCUCCAAGUCGUUAUGGAAUGCUGAUAUGAUAGAUAUGCUUUCAACAUAGCAGAAGAUUUGGAGUAUCAGGAGCCCAAGAACUAUAAGGAAGCCAUGAGAAGUAAAGACAGGAGCAAAUUGGGUUAAGAGCAAUGACAAAGAAGAAAUGGAUCAAUUAAAGAAAAACCAGACAUGGAUACUUGUUGACAGACCAUCUCAUCAAAAGGCAGUUGGAUGUAAGUGGAUACUUCAAAAAGAAGAUAGAGAUGGUGAAUGGAAUGGAACAAGUCAGGUUCAAGGCUAGAUUAGUAGCCAAAGGAUUCCUCAAAAGAGGGAAUAGACUUUUAAUGAAAUAUUCUCUCCAGUAGUGAAACAUUGCUCCAUAAGGAUUUUACUAUCUCUGGUGACUCAAGAUGAUAUGAUAUUAGAGCAGCUCGAUGUGAAAACUGCCUUCUUGAAUGGAAAUCUAGAAGAAACUUAUAUAUGGAGCACCUGAGGGUUUUAUUUCACCAGGACAGGAAGGAAAGGUUUGCCUUCUCAAAAGAUCUUUGUAUGGACUCAAACAAAGCUCAAGGCAAUGGUAUAUUAGAUUUGAUGAGUUUAUGCUUGGUUCUGGUUAUAAGAGAUCUCAACAUGAUAUGUGUUUACAUGCUAAAGGAAGGAAAAUAUCCAUCAGUUUAUCUUCUUUUGUAUGUGGAUGACAUGUUGAUAGCUAGCAAGAGUAAAGCUAAGAUUCAAUUGCUUAAGGAGCAGAUGAAAUCUGUGUUUGAAAUGAAGGAAUUGGGAGGCAGCAAGAAGGAUACUUGGUAUGGAUAUUAUCAGAGAUCAACAAAGGGGAAAACUUUGCUUAUUCAGAGUGAUUAUGCUACUAAAGUGAUCAGAAAAUUUCUGAUGCAUGAAGCUAAAAGUCUGGUGAUUCCACUGUCUCAACAAGCCAAGUUUUUGUUACUCAAUGUCCUAAGACUGAUGAAGAAAUGAAGCAGAUGUUUCAGUGCCAUACUCCAAUGCAGUUGGAUCAGUCAUGUACAUGAUGAUAUGUACUAGACCAGAUCUUGCUUAUGCUAUAAGUAUCCUCAGUAGAUACAUGUCCAAUCCAGGAAGAGAGCAUUGGGAAGGAUUAAAAGGAGUUCUCAGAUACAUUAAAGGUCAGCUGAUUGUGGUUUGUUAUUUGAGAAGAAUGGUAUUUUUAAAGGUGAUCCUCUCAGAGGUUAUGUUGAUGCAGUUAUGCUGCUAAUUUGAUUGCAGGAGAUCCCAAACAGGAUAUAUAUUUACUCUGUAUGGGACUGCAAUCAGCUGGAAAUCAGUACUUCAAUCCGUAGUAGCCAUAUCUACUACAGAGGCUGAAUUUAUGGCCAUGCAGAGGCUGUGAAGGAAGCAGUUUGGCUUAGAGGUAUCUUGAAGAGUUUGGAGUUUUUCAAAAGUGUUGAGAUUUUUGGUGACAACCAAAGUGCUCUUCACCUAGCCAAACACCAAGUAUUUCAUGAGAGGUCAAAGCAUAUAGAUGUGAAGUACUAUUUUGUUCGUGAUCUUAUUAACAAGGGUCUGAUAAGGUUUACUAAGGUGGGAACCGAAGACAAUGCUGCAGAUGCUCUUACUAAUGGCUUUGCCAAGAGUUAAGUUUAAGUAUUGUCUGGAUCUUGUUAAAGUUUGUUAAUUGUUUUGGUUUUGAUGAGGAGAUGAGUCUUAUAUGCAGCAAGGUGGAGUUUGUAGGUUUGUGUUUAUAAGCUUCAGGGGUUAUUCUGCAAUAUUCAUUAAGUUGAAGGACUCUCUAGCAAAUAGGCAUAACAGUUAGUUAUUUCUCAGCUAACUGAAGCAGCGGCCGUUUUGCGAGAGGAUUUGCAGAAGAUCAGAUUGAUGUAUAAAGGCAUUCUCUUAUUGUAUUCCUUAGUUGCAGUGUGUAUUUUCUUCUCUGAUUUACUUUUACGAUAUUGAGUUGAGUGGAAAGAUUUGGAGAGGUGCUAAGUAUAGCUGCU